UAUCUCUGUAGAGUCUGCAUAUCAAUAAGCGGAGGAAAAGAAACUAACAAGGAUUCCCUUAGUAACGGCGAGUGAAGCGGGAAGAGCUCAAAUUUGAAAUCUUCAAGGUUUUACCUUGACGAAUUGUAGUUUAAAGAAGUGUAUUCUGUUGGUGUUUUGGUAAAAGUUCUUUGGAAUAGGACAUCAUAGAGGGUGAGAAUCCCGUAUUUGACCAUUACUUCCAGCGUUGUGAUACACUUUCAAAGAGUCGGAUUGUUUGGGAAUGCAGUCCAAAAUGGGUGGUAAAUUUCAUCUAAAGCUAAAUAUUGGCGAGAGACCGAUAGCGAACAAGUACCGUGAGGGAAAGAUGAAAAGAACUUUGAAAAGAGAGUUAAACAGUACGUGAAAUUGUCAAAAGGGAAGCGUUUGACACCAGUGUUGUUUUCUCGAAAAUCAAUUAAAAAUGCUGGGAUUUUGUGUUGUAUUGACUUUAUCAGCUUUCUGCACUCUUUUCCUGUCUUUUUUAAUGCACUUUUCGUUUAACAAGUCAACAUCAGUUUCUUUUGUUGUAAAAAGGUCAUUGGAAGGUGGCUUUCUUUUCGGAGAAAGUGUUUAUAGCCUUUGACUCCUGCAAUCGGAGAGACUGAGGUCUGCAGCGUAGAUCCUUCUUGGAUUAGAUUCAAUUGUGCUAAGUUAUAGCCUUUCAUAGACAACUUGUUGACUAUGAUCAGUCAUGUAGCUUACUCGCUUAUGCUAUUUUACCUACGCUUAGGAUGUUGAGUCAUCACACAUCUCU
This 775-nucleotide ribosomal RNA is filed under the name uncultured Neocallimastigales. RNAcentral describes it as "partial large subunit ribosomal RNA". It matches the Rfam family "Eukaryotic large subunit ribosomal RNA", at positions 24 to 614 of the family's 3401-position model. Lineage: Eukaryota; Fungi; Neocallimastigomycota; Neocallimastigomycetes; Neocallimastigales. The record is from RNAcentral.